AAAGGAAUUGACGGGGACCCGCACAAGCGGUGGAGCAUGUGGUUUAAUUCGACGCAACGCGAGGAACCUUACCAGAUCUUGACAUCCUCAGAAUUUAUAGGAGACUAUGAAGUGCCUUCGGGAACUGAGAGACAGGUGGUGCAUGGCUGUCGACAGCUCGUGUCGUGAGAUGUUGGGUUAAGUCCCGCAACGAGCGCAACCCCUAUCGUUAGUUACUAACAUUAAGUUGAGGACUUUAGCGAGACUGCCUGCGAAGAGCAGGAGGAAGGUGGGGAUGACGUCAAGUCAUCAUGCCCCUUAUGAUCUGGGCUACACACGUGCUACAAUGGACGGUACAAAGAGAAGCGAAAUGGUGACAUGGAGCAAAUCAAAAAAUCCGUUCUCAGUUCGGAUUGAAGUCUGCAACUCGACUUCAUGAAGUUGGAAUCGCUAGUAAUCGCGAAUCAGCAAUGUCGCGGUGAAUACGUUCUCGGGUCUUGUACACACCGCCCGU
Molecule: ribosomal RNA, 493 nt
Filed under: uncultured bacterium
Lineage: Bacteria
Description: bacterial SSU rRNA
Rfam family: Bacterial small subunit ribosomal RNA
Source: RNAcentral